AUGUCCCCACUCUUGAAGCCACCAAAGACAAACAUUGAUAAAGUGUUUGAUCUUAUUGAUUCAGACAACUGGUCUUGGCGACACGAUGUGAUUAGAAAUUCUUUCGCUGCCCCAGAUGUCGAAGCUAUUCUCAACAUAUCCAUUCGGUAGGGAGGGGGCAAGGAUUCCCUUGCUUGGGCGUUUGAUAAAUCUGGCAACUAGAUUGUGAAGAGGGCGUACCGUGCUCUAGUGACUCAAAAAGAGCGUUCUGCUCUAGAAGAAGGGACGACUACCGGGACCUCAGGGAACGAUCAUCAGUUGUGGAAAGCCUUAUGGAAACUAAAUGUCAUUCCGAAAGUAAGAGCGUUUUGGUGGAGAAUUCUUCGUGGCUUUCUCCUGGAUGAAAGCACUCUCAAGCAUUGUCAUAUUGCAAACAUUGGUCGCUGCAAAGUCUGUUUAGCUAUGGAUGAGGCUCUGAAACAUGAUUUGAUACACUGCUCACAUGGCAAACGCUUCUGGCAGGAGGCGUGCACAUGGUUUGGUAUCUGUCUACCCCGUCUCCAUCUGGACUCGUGGGCGCGCGAUAUCACAUGUGAUUCUCGGUUCACUGACGAUGAUCGUGCUAAGAUCACAGCCAUCAUGUGGUCUAUCUGGCAUUCCUGCAACCGAAUUAAACAUGGGGAGGAGGGGCGUGACCCUACAUCUACGAUUUGA
This 693-nucleotide ribosomal RNA is filed under the name Triticum aestivum (bread wheat). RNAcentral describes it as "partial small subunit ribosomal RNA". Lineage: Eukaryota; Viridiplantae; Streptophyta; Magnoliopsida; Poales; Poaceae. The record is from RNAcentral.